Molecule: long non-coding RNA, 978 nt
Filed under: Gossypium barbadense (sea-island cotton)
Lineage: Eukaryota; Viridiplantae; Streptophyta; Magnoliopsida; Malvales; Malvaceae
Description: long non-coding RNA (GBAR_LNC020229)
Source: RNAcentral
GCCCGUGUGCUAGGCCGUGUGAGCAUUCUAUUUGUGAAAAUUUAAGACACAGAGGACAUACGGCCGUGUCACCUGGCUGUGUGUCACACACGGUUGAGACACAUGCCCGUGUGGAUGAAAAUAAGCCAUUUUACAAGCCAUAUUUCUCACCCAAUUUUGUGUCUAUCUACAAUCAACAUUACACAUAUCAACAAGGCAUAAUUAGACGUUCAAAACAAGCCAAAAUAAGUCGCUAAACUCAACACAUUACAUAUAAGGCAUCAUUAGACAAAAUACCUAUACAUGCCAUUAUAACCAAAAUCAAAAUAUUCGAAAAUACCGAUAAAACCGAUGGAUAGUGUGAUAUAUCUACCACAAGCUUCCAACCUAAUCGAGCUUCCGGUAAUCUGAAAAGUAGAAGAAAACAAAUACAUAAGCAAUGAAUGCUUAGUAAGCUCAUAUAAACUUUAAUCAUAAUACUUCCUUUUCAAAUAUGAAAUUUAUACUUAUCAAGAAUAAUCUAAUAUUGCUACCACAAUACUCAUGAAGUUAUAUUUAACAACUCACUAAGUGAAUAAAGCUACAGUAUCACUUAUACAUAAUAUUCCUAGCAUAGUAGGAUUUUAAACAACUUUAACUCUUCCAAAAUUUCUUUAUUUUCAUUUGCGUUUCUUUACUUUCCACACUCAUUGCAUAUGCAUAACACACAAGUCAUAAGCACAUCAUUCAACCAUAGAUACAGGCUAGUACAUUUAAACAUAGUCCUUUUUUGAAUUAAUCACACGAUAACUCAUUUUAUAAGAAAUUGCAUAACUUAAAAUUUACUACUCUUUCAUGAACACAAGUAUAUUUUCACUUGAGCACUUACCCUUUCAACGCAUCAUAUAAUAAACAUAUUACCAUUUAACCAGUAACUUGGCACUUGUCUAAGCGUCAACAACAGCACUUGUUAGCAUACUUGAACAUAUUUCAUAUUUCAUAACCAGAAGGGUUCCGGAC